Molecule: ribosomal RNA, 705 nt
Filed under: Escherichia coli
Lineage: Bacteria; Pseudomonadati; Pseudomonadota; Gammaproteobacteria; Enterobacterales; Enterobacteriaceae
Description: partial 23S ribosomal RNA
Rfam family: Bacterial large subunit ribosomal RNA
Source: RNAcentral
AAUGGGUCAGCGACUUAUAUUCUGUAGCAAGGUUAACCGAAUAGGGGAGCCGAAGGGAAACCGAGUCUUAACUGGGCGUUAAGUUGCAGGGUAUAGACCCGAAACCCGGUGAUCUAGCCAUGGGCAGGUUGAAGGUUGGGUAACACUAACUGGAGGACCGAACCGACUAAUGUUGAAAAAUUAGCGGAUGACUUGUGGCUGGGGGUGAAAGGCCAAUCAAACCGGGAGAUAGCUGGUUCUCCCCGAAAGCUAUUUAGGUAGCGCCUCGUGAAUUCAUCUCCGGGGGUAGAGCACUGUUUCGGCAAGGGGGUCAUCCCGACUUACCAACCCGAUGCAAACUGCGAAUACCGGAGAAUGUUAUCACGGGAGACACACGGCGGGUGCUAACGUCCGUCGUGAAGAGGGAAACAACCCAGACCGCCAGCUAAGGUCCCAAAGUCAUGGUUAAGUGGGAAACGAUGUGGGAAGGCCCAGACAGCCAGGAUGUUGGCUUAGAAGCAGCCAUCAUUUAAAGAAAGCGUAAUAGCUCACUGGUCGAGUCGGCCUGCGCGGAAGAUGUAACGGGGCUAAACCAUGCACCGAAGCUGCGGCAGCGACACUGUGUGUUGUUGGGUAGGGGAGCGUUCUGUAAGCCUGCGAAGGUGUGCUGUGAGGCAUGCUGGAGGUAUCAGAAGUGCGAAUGCUGACAUAAGUAACGAUAAAGCG